CCUACGGGAGGCAGCAGUAGGGAAUAUUGGACAAUGGACGCAAGUCUGAUCCAGCCAUCCCGCGUGAAGGAUUAAGGCCCUAUGGGUUGUAAACUUCUUUUCUUUGGGAAUAAAAGCGGUAUUCAUAUCGCCUUGAAGGUACCAGAGGAAUAAGCACCGGCUAACUCCGUGCCAGCAGCCGCGGUAAUACGGAGGGUGCAAGCGUUAUCCGGAUUCACUGGGUUUAAAGGGUGCGUAGGUGGCUUUGUAAGUCAGCGGUGAAAGCCUGGAGCUCAACUCCAGAAUUGCCAUUGAUACUGCAGAGCUUGAAUCAAGUUGAGGUGGAUGGAAUAUUACAUGUAGCGGUGAAAUGCUUAGAUAUGUAAUAGAACACCGAUUGCGAAGGCAGUUCACUAAGCUUGUAUUGACACUGAGGCACGAAAGCUGGGGAUCAAACAGAUAGAUACCUGUAGUCACGACCUAACGACUAGCAACUACGACA
This 481-nucleotide ribosomal RNA is filed under the name uncultured bacterium. RNAcentral's name for it is "bacterial SSU rRNA". It matches the Rfam family "Bacterial small subunit ribosomal RNA", at positions 338 to 823 of the family's 1533-position model. The record is from RNAcentral.